UGCCGGCUGAUGUCACGGGAAACACGACUCCCUCAACUUAGAAGUGCCAGGACUUCUUUCCAGGCAGAAGUGGGUGGAUCAACGAUGCCACCUAACUUAUGUCAAAUAAACCAGCCUGGCCUUCACCCUCCAAGCAGCUGAGGCUGACCCUCAAGCUCCUGAUCCCUCUGCCCCCUUUCCUGAGUGCCGGGCCCCCGAGCACGGACCACCACACCUGAGUUAGACGCGAUGUGAUGAGUGUUUGAAGAUGUCGAUGAAGAAGAAUCAACACCUCUCUGCAGGGUCUCCACCAGAUACCAAAAACUCAGAAGCCUUAGAAAGCAGUUUUGUCUAAAGAGAGUGGGAGCGGGAAGCUCGACAGGCAAUCACUGCUCACUACACACCCCUUGCUUUGUGUGUGUGUAUGUGUAUAUGCUUGGGGUGUGUGUGUGUGUGUGUGUGUGUGUGUGUGUGUGUGUGUGUGUGUGUGUAAGAGAGAGAGAGAGAGAGAGAAAGAGAGAGAUAUGCCUGUAGACGACAGAGGACACCUUGAUUGUCAUUUGUCAGGCAUCAUCUGACUUUCUUUUCAUCUGUUUGUUUUGUUUUGGAGACAGGGUCUCAGCGGCAGAAUCUGCUUGUCUCUGCCAGGCAGUGUG
RNAcentral lists this long non-coding RNA (635 nucleotides) under Rattus norvegicus (Norway rat). RNAcentral's name for it is "long non-coding RNA NONRATT021367". The record is from RNAcentral. Lineage: Eukaryota; Metazoa; Chordata; Mammalia; Rodentia; Muridae.